ACGAUGGCUAAUACCGCAUAAUGCCUACGGGCCAAAGAGGGGGACCUUCGGGCCUCUCGCGUCAGGAUAUGCCUAGGUGGGAUUAGCUAGUUGGUGAGGUAAUGGCUCACCAAGGCGACGAUCCCUAGCUGGUCUGAGAGGAUGAUCAGCCACACUGGAACUGAGACACGGUCCAGACUCCUACGGGAGGCAGCAGUGGGGAAUAUUGCACAAUGGGCGCAAGCCUGAUGCAGCCAUGCCGCGUGUGUGAAGAAGGCCUUCGGGUUGUAAAGCACUUUCAGUCGUGAGGAAGGUAGUGUAGUUAAUAGCUGCAUUAUUUGACGUUAGCGACAGAAGAAGCACCGGCUAACUCCGUGCCAGCAGCCGCGGUAAUACGGAGGGUGCGAGCGUUAAUCGGAAUUACUGGGCGUAAAGCGCAUGCAGGUGGUUUG
Molecule: ribosomal RNA, 431 nt
Filed under: Vibrio jasicida
Lineage: Bacteria; Pseudomonadati; Pseudomonadota; Gammaproteobacteria; Vibrionales; Vibrionaceae
Description: bacterial SSU rRNA
Rfam family: Bacterial small subunit ribosomal RNA
Source: RNAcentral